UGAGUAAUGCCUAGGAAUCUGCCUGGUAGUGGGGGACAACGUCUCGAAAGGGACGCUAAUACCGCAUACGUCCUACGGGAGAAAGCAGGGGACCUUCGGGCCUUGCGCUAUCAGAUGAGCCUAGGUCGGAUUAUCUAGUUGGUGAGGUAAUGGCUCACCAAGGCGACGAUCCGUAACUGGUCUGAGAGGAUGAUCAGUCACACUGGAACUGAGACACGGUCCAGACUCCUACGGGAGGCAGCAGUGGGGAAUAUUGGACAAUGGGCGAAAGCCUGAUCCACCCAUGCCGCGUGUGUGAAGAAGGUCUUCGGAUUGUAAAGCACUUUAAGUUGGGAGGAAGGGUUGUAAAUUAAUACUCUGCUAUUUUGACGUUACCGACAGAAUAAGCACCGGCUAACUCUGUGCCAGCAGCCGC
RNAcentral lists this ribosomal RNA (415 nucleotides) under uncultured Pseudomonas sp. RNAcentral describes it as "bacterial SSU rRNA". It matches the Rfam family "Bacterial small subunit ribosomal RNA", at positions 107 to 518 of the family's 1533-position model. Lineage: Bacteria; Pseudomonadati; Pseudomonadota; Gammaproteobacteria; Pseudomonadales; Pseudomonadaceae. The record is from RNAcentral.